This is a long non-coding RNA of Marmota flaviventris (yellow-bellied marmot), 384 nucleotides long. RefSeq lists it as uncharacterized. Lineage: Eukaryota; Metazoa; Chordata; Mammalia; Rodentia; Sciuridae. The record is from RefSeq and is a predicted model, not a curated record.
CUUCUUGCCAGAUGUAGGGGUGAUGGGAGCUCAGUCCAUGGAGAAUGCAGGAUGAGGGUGUGGCCCAGUUUGGAGUUCAGGAAGAAGGGGCAGAUGUCAAACCUUUGAAGCAGAGCUGCUCAUCCACGUGAAGGUCUUGGGAUGAUGUCAGAAGAGAAGCUUCGCUGUCAGGGUGCUGGGACCGGGGAGCCUCUCUCACUCCCAGGUUCCACAGAAGGGAGCUGAUGUCCCUCAGAGGAAGAGGUGCCCCAGACCUCAUCGUUCUGAGAUCAUUAUUGAAAAGAAGUCAGGCAAGCAGCACCAUCGUAUAUCUGAAGACAGCAUCCACGGUCUCUUCAGUAUGUGGGGUCCCUGACCUAGAGGGCCACCUUGAGAAGAGUGAGA